AGUAGUUGACUCGCGCACGAGACACGCUGGCGGCGCGCCUAACACAUGCAAGUCGAGCGAUGAACAUUGAAUGAUCCCUUCGGGGUGAUUUCGAUCGGAUUAGCGGCGAACGGGUGAGUAACGCGUGAGGAACCUGCCUCUUACAACGGGAUAGCCUCGGGAAACCGGGAUUAAUACCGUAUAAGACUCCGACAUCUCCUGAUGAUGAAGUCAAAGCGUUAGCGGUAAGAGAUGGCCUCGCGUCUGAUUAGCUUGUUGGCGGGGUAACGGCCCACCAAGGCGACGAUCAGUAACCGGCCUGAGAGGGUGAACGGUCACAUUGGAACUGAGACACGGUCCAAACUCCUACGGGAGGCAGCAGUGGGGAAUCUUGCACAAUGGGGGAAACCCUGAUGCAGCGACGCCGCGUGAGCGAUGAAGGUUUUCGAAUCGUAAAGCUCUGUCCUAUGGGAAGAUAAUGACGGUACCAUGGGAGGAAGCCCCGGCUAACUACGUG
RNAcentral lists this ribosomal RNA (496 nucleotides) under uncultured bacterium. RNAcentral's name for it is "bacterial SSU rRNA". It matches the Rfam family "Bacterial small subunit ribosomal RNA", at positions 33 to 507 of the family's 1533-position model. The record is from RNAcentral.